UACAGAGGUCUCAAGCGUUGUUCGGAUUCAUUGGGCGUAAAGGGUGCGUAGGCGGCGCGGUAAGUCGGAUGUGAAAUCUCGGAGCUUAACUCCGAAACUGCAUUCGAUACUGCGGUGCUUGAGGACUGGAGAGGAGACUGGAAUUCAUGGUGUAGCAGUGAAAUGCGUAGAGAUCAUGAGGAAGACCAGUGGCGAAGGCGGGUCUCUGGACAGUUCCUGACACUGAGACACGAAGGCCAGGGGAGCAAACGGG
Molecule: ribosomal RNA, 253 nt
Filed under: uncultured bacterium
Lineage: Bacteria
Description: partial 16S ribosomal RNA
Rfam family: Bacterial small subunit ribosomal RNA
Source: RNAcentral